AUGUCUAGCAAUCCAUCCUAUCAUCAGCAGCUGGGGUUGGAUGCCAUGAACACUUGCUUCUUCGGCGGCAGCAGCAUGAUCGGCUCCGAAGCACCGUUCUUCUACCCAGGCAUGCCGCACGAUGCGGGCUUCGGCUCCGGCGGCGCGGAUGUGGCCGCGCAUUUCAUGGCCAGCAGCGCGAUGGUCACUUCGCCGGCGAACCAGCUCGUCUGGCCCGCCGCUGCUCCUUCGCAGGACAGCCACCAAGCGAGCAUGUCGACGGAGGAGAUGAACGACGACGCCUACGCCGUCGCCGGCGAGAGCUGCAGCACCGUGCACUCCAUGCUCCCUUCCGCCUCGGCAGACUUCUUUCAGUACGGGUCGGGAGUGGUCACCAUCGCCCAGCCGUCGAAGAUGGCCAAGCUCGUUGCUGGAGAGCCACACUGCGGCUGGCUCUACGAUGGACCGAGCGCUGCCUCGACCCACCAGCCGUAUUACCUGACGGCGUUCUCCGGCGGCAGCGACUUUCCGGACGCUGUCGCCGGCGCGGCGAGCGGCCUGUCGCUCAGGCUAGGUGCCCAGUCUUCCUCGGUCACCAUGGCGAGCAUACCGGAGCAGUCCUCGGAGGUGAGCUGCUCCGGCCUGACCCACGUCAACAGCGAAGGCUUUGGCUACCAGCAGCCUCAGGCCGUGAGGGCUCACGCCGGCGCCGGCGCCGGCCUGUUCCAUCUGCCUCCUUACGGCGAUGUCGGUGCCGGCGACGACGAGCUGCGGCACGUGUACCCACAGAUGUACUCGAGGCCUCCGCACUUCUCGCAGGUGCUGCCGCGGUCGGGAUACGCGCACAUUGCCCAGGAGCUGCUGAAUGGGUUCGCCGGCUGCGUGCUGAAAGACCUGGCCGAGAUGCCUGACGAUUCAGUCAGCGGCAUUGGCAGCGAGGCGAGCCUCCUGCUCUCGUCGAGCUGCUCGGCGAGGACGCCGUCGUCGGUGAGCUCCAACCAGCUGAUGCUGCCCUCCGACGAGGGCUCAGCCGACGGCGGGAGGUGGAUGGAGGCUCAGAGGGUGAGGAACGAUCUCCUGAAACUGCUACAGCUGAUGGACCAAAGGUGCAACCGGUGCUUCGACGACAUCCAGACCACGGCGUCCAAGUUCAGCAGCGUGGUGGCGCACCCAGGCGGCGGCGGAGGCGGCGCCAUCGCGCCGCCGCCGUUCGCGCAGCGCGCGAUGUCCGCGGUGUACCGGAGGCUGAGGAAGCGGAUCACGGGCCUGAUCGUGGCGGUGGCGCAGAGGUCCGGCGGGGGCGGGGGCGGGGAGCCGUCGUCGCUGGCCGACAAGGAGCGGAGCUGGGAGUCGGCCUUCAUCCAGAAGCACUGGGCGCUGCAGCAGCUCCGGCGCGGCGACCAGCAGUCCUGGCGGCCCCAGCGCGGCCUGCCGGAGAAGUCCGUCGCCGUGCUCAAAGCCUGGAUGUUCGAGAACUUCCUCCGCCCGUACCCGAAGGACCACGAGAAGGACAUGCUGGCGGCGAGGAGCGGGCUGAGCAGGAGCCAGGUCUCCAACUGGUUCAUCAACGCGCGCGUCCGGCUGUGGAAGCCGAUGAUCGAGGAGAUGUACGAGGAGCUCAAGAGGAGCUCCGGGCGCGGCGGCGACGCUGAGCUUCCGAGCAGCAAAGACGUCGUCGGCUAG
This 1662-nucleotide ribosomal RNA is filed under the name Triticum aestivum (bread wheat). RNAcentral describes it as "partial small subunit ribosomal RNA". Lineage: Eukaryota; Viridiplantae; Streptophyta; Magnoliopsida; Poales; Poaceae. The record is from RNAcentral.